AAAAUGUCUACCUCGAGAAAAGACAAUCUCUGCUUAAAAUGUUGUUCAUAUAUAUUGUAUAUGCAUCUAAAGUGUUUCGAAGCAUACGCAAUAACGUGUUUGUCUCAGUUCAACAAUUAUUAAAUUGGUUUUCUCGCAUUUAUCAUUUUUUAGUUUAAAGCAGUCUUCUCAAUAGAAUAGAUAACCAAUUGAACAUCGAGUAUUGCAGGAAAUAAAGUCUAGAUAAAAUCCAGACAUAAUACGUUAUAUAUAAGGUUGUAUUGCUUAUCUUACGUACCGCAACAACAACAAAGAAGAACAACAUUAGCCUAAGCACAGCUCGUAUACAAUAAGAACAUCAUUCCUUUACAAAAACAAAGAAAAAAAAAUGAAUAAAUAAAUUAAAAGUAAAAAUAAAAACAACAACGAAAGCAAAAGCAAAAAUGAAAAUCAACUGAAUUAUGAACUGGUCUGUUAUUGAACGAACAACUAAAGCAACACAAAACAUGUUAAUUCUAUUGUCAGCUCUUCAACGCAACGGUCAUUAGGACGGAUGGAAAACAAGAAAUAACCGCAUACCGUCUACACAAAGCUUUGAAAAAAAAAAAAAAAAAAAAAAAA
Molecule: long non-coding RNA, 600 nt
Organism: Glossina fuscipes
Lineage: Eukaryota; Metazoa; Arthropoda; Insecta; Diptera; Glossinidae
Exons: 2
Source: RefSeq, a predicted model, not a curated record